Molecule: non-coding RNA, 17 nt
Filed under: Mus musculus (house mouse)
Lineage: Eukaryota; Metazoa; Chordata; Mammalia; Rodentia; Muridae
Source: RNAcentral
AAGGCAGGCCACUUCAG